RNAcentral lists this ribosomal RNA (404 nucleotides) under Actinomycetes bacterium. RNAcentral describes it as "Actinobacteria bacterium partial 16S ribosomal RNA". It matches the Rfam family "Bacterial small subunit ribosomal RNA", at positions 355 to 776 of the family's 1533-position model. Lineage: Bacteria; Bacillati; Actinomycetota; Actinomycetes. The record is from RNAcentral.
UGGGGAAUAUUGGACAAUGGGCGCAAGCCUGAUCCAGCCAUGCCGCGUGAGUGAUGAAGGCCCUAGGGUUGUAAAGCUCUUUCACCGGUGAAGAUAAUGACGGUAACCGGAGAAGAAGCCCCGGCUAACUUCGUGCCAGCAGCCGCGGUAAUACGAAGGGGGCUAGCGUUGUUCGGAUUUACUGGGCGUAAAGCGCACGUAGGCGGACUAUUAAGUCAGGGGUGAAAUCCCGGGGCUCAACCCCGGAACUGCCUUUGAUACUGGUAGGCUUGAGUUCGAGAGAGGUGAGUGGAAUUCCGCGUGUAGAGGUGAAAUUCGUAGAUAUUCGGGGGAAAACCAGUGGCGAAGGCGGCUCACUGGCUCGAUACUGACGCUGUGGUGCGAAAGCGUGGGGAGCAAACAGG